This 491-nucleotide ribosomal RNA is filed under the name uncultured bacterium. RNAcentral describes it as "partial 16S ribosomal RNA". It matches the Rfam family "Bacterial small subunit ribosomal RNA", at positions 29 to 507 of the family's 1533-position model. The record is from RNAcentral.
GUGAACGCUGGCGGUAGGCCUAACACAUGCAAGUCGAACGGCAGCACAGUAAGAGCUUGCUCUUACGGGUGGCGAGUGGCGGACGGGUGAGGAAUACAUCGGAAUCUACUUUUUCGUGGGGGAUAACGUAGGGAAACUUACGCUAAUACCGCAUACGACCUACGGGUGAAAGCAGGGGAUCUUCGGACCUUGCGCGAUUGAAUGAGCCGAUGUCGGAUUAGCUAGUUGGCGGGGUAAAGGCCCACCAAGGCGACGAUCCGUAGCUGGUCUGAGAGGAUGAUCAGCCACACUGGAACUGAGACACGGCCCAGACUCCUACGGGAGGCAGCAGUGGGGAAUAUUGGACAAUGGGCGCAAGCCUGAUCCAGCCAUACCGCGUGAGUGAAGAAGUCGUUCGGGUUGUAAAGCCCUUUUGUUGGGAAAGAAAAGCAGCAGGUUAAUACCCCGCUGUUCUGACGGUACCCAAAGAAUAAGCACCGGCUAACUUCGUG